GUCGUCAGCUCGUGUCGUGAGAUGUUGGGUUAAGUCCCGCAACGAGCGCAACCCUUGUGUUUAGUUGCAAACAGGUCAAGCUGUGCACUCUAGACAGACUGCCGUGGACAACACGGAGGAAGGUGGGGAUGACGUCAAAUCAUCAUGCCCCUUAUGAUCUGGGCUACACACGUGCUACAAUGGCCGGUACAACGGGCAGCGAAGGAGCGAUCCGGAGCGAAUCCUAAAAAGCCGGUCCCAGUUCGGAUUGCAGGCUGAAACUCGCCUACAUGAAGUUGGAGUUGCUAGUAAUCGCGAAUCAGAAUGUCGCGGUGAAUGCGUUCCCGGGUCUU
RNAcentral lists this ribosomal RNA (332 nucleotides) under uncultured Fusibacter sp. RNAcentral's name for it is "bacterial SSU rRNA". It matches the Rfam family "Bacterial small subunit ribosomal RNA", at positions 1051 to 1382 of the family's 1533-position model. The record is from RNAcentral. Lineage: Bacteria; Bacillati; Bacillota; Clostridia; Eubacteriales; Fusibacteraceae.